RNAcentral lists this ribosomal RNA (222 nucleotides) under uncultured bacterium. RNAcentral's name for it is "partial 16S ribosomal RNA". It matches the Rfam family "Bacterial small subunit ribosomal RNA", at positions 28 to 250 of the family's 1533-position model. The record is from RNAcentral.
GACGAACGCUGGCGGCGUGCUUAACACAUGCAAGUCGAGCGGUAAGGCCCUUUCGGGGUACGACGAGCGGCGAACGGGUGAGUAACACGUGGGUGACCUGCCCUCAGCUCUGGGAUAAGCCUGGGAAACCGGGUCUAAUACUGGAUAUGACUCCAUGACGCAUGUUGGUGGGGUGGAAAGCCUUGUGCGGCUGAGGAUGGGCCCGCGGCCUAUCAGCUUGUU